RNAcentral lists this long non-coding RNA (248 nucleotides) under Phasianus colchicus (ring-necked pheasant). RNAcentral's name for it is "lncRNA (ENSPCLG00000008791.1)". The record is from RNAcentral. Lineage: Eukaryota; Metazoa; Chordata; Aves; Galliformes; Phasianidae.
AUGGAAGUCUACUUAAAAUGCUGAAAAGAUAAUGCUCUUCCAUGGGGUUACCAAUUUGUGAUCAGUAUUUUCAGAGAGUCCAAGACUGAGUGCAUAAAAUGCAAGAAAAGAAAAAGAUGGAAAUCUUCAAGCGCGCUUCUGGAUCUAGAAGAUAUUGACCUUAUUCUACUGAGGAUCUGAGUCUCUGGUUAAACGUUCUCUUCCAGGUCAGUGUUUCUUUAAAAAAAAAAAAAAAAUCUUUGCUAUGU